UAGGAAAAAGCUUGCAUAGGAGAGCUUAGAACCUGCAAGGAAACAUCUCCAUUUGUAUCUACUCAUUCCGAUUCAUAAGAAGUGUCGGAAUUUAAUACAAAUUUAAGUGUCGGAAAUUUACUACAAAACUAGUAUAACUUUGUACUAAAUUUUUGAAACUUAUUAUGGAUCGAAGGGAGUACAAUUUAUGAAAAAACACUUUUUUCCACCUCUAAACCUACCAUAAAAUCUACCUGGACCAAUUACCGCAUCAUAAUCAGACUCACUCAACACAAUCUAACAACUAGGAUUAACCUUAUUCUUUUGCAAUUGUGCUCUUAGCAAUUGGAAGAACGUAUCUGCCCAAAGAUCGAUCCGUCGCUAGGCCAUAACAGAUUGCCAGGGAGGUACCGUCUCGGUGUGGGCACUGCUGGUGGUGACCGCAUUCCUCCAGGGCAUGCGAGAAAAUUUCGCAAACUUGAAAUACAACUUUUUACAGUACUACAAAACAUCACAUCAGUAACGGGCCAAAAACGCCAUCAGUGGUGGGCGGGGCGACCGCCGCAAACUUCUUGCCGGUGAUGAGGUGCCAAGCAGCCGUUAGUGAUGGGGCGUCUCAUCAAUGGCGGUCAUGCCCCACGACCGACACUGAUGGGAAUUUGUAUAAAUAGAAAAACAAGGCCGGCCCUAGGCCUGCCCCAAAUCCACACGACACCCCUACAAAGUUUUUCACAAAUCACAGAUAAGCACGAAUUACAAAUCACAGAUCAAUAAUCAUGGAUUACAUUACAAAUCACAGAUCAAUCAAUCACGGAUUACAAAUCACAGAUCAAUCAAUCACGGAUUACAAAUUGCAAAAAGGGCAGGAGGCCGGAUCUCACGGCGAUUGUUGUGGCCGGCCACCAAACUUGCUCCCCGACCAGAGAGGGUGUGAGAGUGAACGAGAGGUGAAGGGGGGGGGCGAGAGAGAGAGAGAGACUAUACCGGCAGCGGGGAAGUCGGUCUCGGCCGGAAUCGUCGGCUGGGGGGCGCGGUUGGCGGCAAGGGAGGCCGAAUCCGGCUGCUGCUGGGCCGAGGGAGGCCGAAUCCGGUGGCUGGCUGGGUCGGUGCCGACGGAUCCGGCAGCACCAUGCCCCGCUGCUGCUGGUGCUCCAUGCGUCCCCACUGCUGUUGCUCCAUGCGCCCUGGGAGGAAGGGAGAGGGGCUUGCUGGGGGCUUGGUUUGGGGUCGGCGCAACGGAAUAGAGAAGAGAGGGAGAGACGAGAGCAGUGGGAGGCGAGCAAGAACAAAGAGAGAAGAGGUGGUGGCCGCGGCAGGGGGAAUAGAGGGAGGGUGAGGGCGGGGAUUAGGGAUUUAGGGUUAGCAAAAUGGUUAUAUAGGGAAUGGAUUGGGUUGGGCCUUAGAUGCGGUGGCCGGGCCGACUGUCGCACCAAUAGCCCACGGGGCUCCACUGGUACGGGACGCGUGGGUCGCAACUGAC
This 1459-nucleotide long non-coding RNA is filed under the name Brachypodium distachyon (stiff brome). Its description in RNAcentral is "long non-coding RNA (BDIS_LNC002195)". The record is from RNAcentral. Lineage: Eukaryota; Viridiplantae; Streptophyta; Magnoliopsida; Poales; Poaceae.